GUCAAGUGAUCUCGUAGUCACGCCCACAAGCUAACGAUAACUUCUCGAAAGUUCUGCUAGCCGCUUUUAUUAGCGGCUCGUAGCAAUGUUGCUACCCUUCUGCUAGCUUAACGGCUAACAGUGACGCAUUGUGAUUUACUUCCAGACCUAACUGUAUAUAUAUUAUAUAACUGUGUUAAUGAACUUACUGACGUAAUGGUGAUGACAGCGAACUUCUAUUAUAUACAUAUUAUUAUAUUCUAUACAGCGCUUCUAUUUUUUUACAUACUUUUCUAUGACGCUGGCUCGGUCUCUGUGUGGCCACGCCCCCUUUGUUUUUCUUCCGGAUUUAUAGCCAAUCCCAACAGCUACGGGUUAUUGGUUCCUGAAUGGGCAAUACCAACGAAGAGACUUGAAACUAACUUUAUUACUUUAUUUUAUUAGUUGUUAUUUUUAGUAGUAUUGGUAAGUAAAUUAACUGUAUUCCUAAUUUUUGCACUUAUAUAUGAGGUCUGUGUAACAAAAAUAGGAACAAAAAAUACCAUUAUUUUUUUACAAAGCUCAAAUCAAAAUCUAAAGAAAAGCUCCGGCUGAAGAUUUCCAGAUGUUGUGCUUGCUGAUUCAUUAGAGAAUGCAUAGCUCAACACGGCUGAUCGGUCAUAACCGUGUGUUCCAAACCCUGUUUUGACCUUCAGCUUCCCACCAGAAAUAAUGUUCUCUUUCAUUAUCUAAUGAAGCCUGUGGCUGAGGAGUCACAAACAAAACAAAACAAAAAUCACAGCAUGCCAUGUAAAAACAAAAGGGGGUGGGAGCAAGACAGAUGAACCCUGUCCUGGGCACUCCCACUAAAGUUCACAAGUAAACAAGAGGCUGGUAAAUGGUAUGCUCCCACAUAGGACAAACAUGCAGUGUUAUAAGCUACAACAUUGUUUUCCUGGAAAGGGUUUCUCUUAGCUGGAGAAACACAGUGGUGCCUGCUUGCUGGUGUUCGCUGAUGAUGUUUGGCUUCAGUUUGUGGGGCCUCUGUCUGUGUUUUAUUGCAGGUAUAGGACAGGGUGGUCAGAUGUUGAGGUCACUGAGAAACUCUUUACGAACCCACACAAGCCCUCGAGUUCAGGAGCAGAGGGCAGCAAGGGGCCGGUGGGAAAGGACAGAGACACACUUUCAUUUGAACAAUGUCACCCUGCUGUUCUUUGCCUUCAAUAUCGCUGUUCCUCUAAUUUCCACAGCUGGAUUUGACCUGAAGGAAUCACAUCAGUGUAUUAGUAUUUCUGUUUCUUUCAAAUCUCAACGAUUCUUUACAGGCUUAUAUACUUAUUAGAUUAGGGGACACAAUAUAAUAAAAAUAAAGAAGAAAUUGAUUUUUCGAUUUCUCUCAGAUUCUCUCUAGUCUCGCGCGAGCAAAAGUUCAUCUCGCGCGAGAUAUUUGCUCGCUCAUGGAGCAUGAACUUUACUCGCUCGCGAGGUUAGUCUCUGCUCACGCUCGAAGGUGUUUUCUACGCGCUCGCUGUUUUUCUUUUUGACAGUAAGGGGGCGGAGCCAGUCACCAUGGUCUCUACACUGGAUUGGUUCCAAAACCCCGUCUUUGGAUUGGCUGGCGUGAUGCAUUUUACACAACUAUAGAAGCCCAUUUCCGCACUAAUGUAAGGGGAUAGAAAGUCGAACUUAUGAGAUAAAACGUUAAAAAACAAACGGCCCCCUUCGGUAAUCGUAGUGGACCGUAGAUGACAACCAGCUACAACCAUCAUUUACCAUCAUUACCGGCACAUUAAGAGCAAUGCGUCUAGCUCGCAGACCGGUCCGUCAGUCUGAAUCUGAAUAUCUUGCCAACUUUACCGAACUAUGAAGGAGCCUGCGCACAUCUUACCUCAUUAUUUUGAUUUUCCAAAAAGUCGAUCCGUAUUGAAAGUUGGCAAGAUAUUCACAGAUUUGGACUUUUUUCCGGUAUUUUACAAAUACGGACCGGUCUGAGACUAAGAGCAGCUUUUUCUUCAUUUAAAAGAAAAAUGAAUCUCUUUAAUAUUUUUUUACAUAGGCUACUUUUAUAUAAUGUGUUGAAAUGCAAGCUGCAUUGGUUCUUGCAUUGUUGAUAAAAAGAGAAAAUCAUAUUUGUGACAAAGAUUUUUUUUUCUCUCAUAAAAAAUUAGAGAAGGUAAUUCAUCUGUUGAUUUUCUUUAAUUAUCAAAUAAAGUAGGAAGUGAUUAGCAACCUCUGAGUAGCAAACUCACAUUUGAGAAAAUUUAGAAAAUCGAGAUGGAUCGAUAAUCGUUUUAUCAGUUUAGAAUCGCUAAUCGGUUUAGAAUCGCUAAUCGGUUUAGAAUUGAAUUGUUGACCUCUGAAUCGGAAUCGAAUCGAAUCGUGAGGUGCCAAGAGAUUCCCACCCCUAAUUACUUCUAUAUGUUUUGACUGUAAACAGCAGGGGGUGUUGUUCCAACUUCUCUUUGGACAGUGCUUACUGAGAGGUCAAAGGGCGCGUGAAAAAUACCUGAAGUGCGACUUGACGUCCUGUUUAUGUGCAGGAUCGCUGAGCCAUCCGAACACUGCCAGACUGUACUAAUUAAACCAAUCCACGAUCUUUAAAUCUUACAAAGUAGAUGCGUUGCCUAAACCUAAAGAGGUUUCCAACAAUAAGGGUUAUGAAGGCAAACUUCUCCCACGUGCUUUGUAGGAAAAUACCAUGUUCAACUCUAUAUAACCCAUUGCUGCAUAACCCAGGCAGAUUGCAGCCUCCUCGGCUCUCUCUCCAUCGGCCCUGACACGUCCUCAUUCAGGAUAUCACAGGCCGUCAUACCAAAUCCCCACCUACAGGAGGAGACUCAAUAGUCAAUUGCGAGUUAUGCUGGGUGGCUAGGCGUCUUUCACUGUGGACAUUUUGAUAUAACUCGAGGUGUAAACAAUCACAUGUGUGAAUUGCAAUGAGGAGCUUCAGUUUCAGGCUCCUUAUAUUGUACAUGUUGGCAGACUGUCGUGCUAGUGUGGAAUACCGGAACCCUGAAAAGAGCCACAGCCACUGUGAUUUCCAUAUAAUGAAAAGUCCAAAUGUCUGCUGCUUUUUUUAAUGUCAUGUGACAAUCAAAAUAAGAACAAUUGUCAAAAUGUAGGUUUUUUUUAUGGCUGUAAUUAGCCAUAACCAUGGUAUAUUGAUGUUUAAUUAAAUGUACUACUAUUGCUGAUAAUUACAAUUAUGGUUUUCUUUAUUGUAAUAAAGGCUUUUAACAUGAUAGAGGUUUGACCGGUUGGCUCAUCCAGUCCAACUUUAUUUGAUAAAUCAAUAUUUUAUAUUCCUUCCUUGCUUGCAAGUGCACUUUUAUUCACAACUUUUUUUCCCUACUUAUUAUGGUGGGAGAAGAAAAGGUGUGGCCACAAAGAAAUGCACUUGCCACGGUGACUGUAGUAAUCGAACGCGCCCGACGACGUGCAGUACGCCUGUUACCGCAGAGGUCGUACAAAUCAAAUAAAACCUUUAUUGACGUGUUUUGCAUGGGGACUCCCCCAAACCGCUCCCUGGCCCCCUUUUCCCCAACCAGGGUGUUGAUGUGGUUCCCCAGAGUAUCGACCCGGCAACCUACAGCCCAAUUCCCCGUGCCCUCAUAUCCUGGUGUGAGCACAGAGGCCACCGGCCCGGCCCGGCCAGGGCAGGUGAAGCCCCGAACGCCGUUACGUAACCACAGAGGAAGUCAUCCGUCAGUGGGGCGGCGUGGGGCGGCACUCAACUGUGUCCUUUUUUUUUCCGGUGGGAGCCGCCGCUUCCAGUGUGCGAGGGUGACGGCGCGGUCAGUCUGGAGUGUUUGUGUUAGCCUAAAUCAGUUUGAGCGGAGUGGAAACAAUCCAGGGGGCGUCAUAGGUGUGUGUUUGUGUGUUUGUCGCUCCCUGAGGAUUUAUUGUGACAAAUUAUCAGCCAUAGACAAACAACAAGCAAGCCACCCGCCUGUCCCCGUAAACAAACAAACAAACAAACAGAGGAGACAGACAAACAGGCCGUCACGCCACGCCGAGUUUACAAGGAUUAAUCACCGUUUGGCAGAAAUCAAUGCAGGCUUAUUUAGUUUUGAUCAACAAUCAAUGCUGCACUGUUGUGUGUAUCUACGCGUAUUAGUUCUUGCAGGCACGUCUGCAUGGCCACCUGUGUCCAUCACUGUGUGGGGACGCAUGUUUUUGGAAUGCAUUUUGUGCGCCUGUGCAUGUGGUAUCAUAUGUGUGUGUGUGUGUGUGUGUGUGUGUGUGUGUGUGUGUGUGGGGGGGGGAUGUAACCCAAACCAGAGCGGCACAACACAGCAGCCUGUUCAAAGGCACGUUUGUAUUAUUACAGCUUGUCCAGCUGCUCAGGACAGACAAACAAGACUUAGAGCUCUGAGCUGCAAAACACAGACCUCCCACCCCAUCGCACAGACCCCUGUGGCCCGGCCCCCGCAACGCCGAUCAGAAAUGGACAAACAGACGCCCACAAAUAGACAAACCAACGGCCAAGAGUGGAAGUCUUUGUCCUGAAACGAUGAGCGACACUUGGAGAGCUGAUGAAAACGAAUGCCUGUGUUUGCGGCGCAAUAUUUCUUCUCGGCGUGUGCUCGGCGUGCCCCAUAAGCAGCUCUCUCCUCUGGAGACCCCCCCCCCCCCCGCCCGCCCUCCAAAUGAAUCUGAUCGUGGCGAUUAAGAUCAGAGUAAGCCAACACUCUCGCUCCCUCACGCCUACGCUACCCAUCGACAUUGUCUCCUUUUCACCUCAACUUGUGCCGUUCACCCUGACCUCCAUCCUCCGUCCUCGAUAUCUUCCACACUCCUCCAUCCCUCAUCUAUCCUGCUCUGCUCCUCCUCCUCCUCUCCCCCUUGUGCUCCUGCUCCUUUUCCCUCUCUGAAUCAGGGUCCCUGUGUGCCUGUAUGUAACAUCAGUAAAGCUGUCAGGCGGCCAGGCCAAGGUAAACAGCCCAGCGCCGGGUUCAGGGGUGAUGGGGGCCGAGAUGUUUUUCCUCAGGAACCCAGGGACCCCUGGAGGCUUCUGGCUGGGGCCAGGGAGGGGCCGAAGGGGGGAAGACGAUCCCCUCAGUUGCCCCCCACAAGAACACACACCGCCCGAUUUCUCCUUCCAUCCUCUCCCUUUUGUCACCGACCUCCUAAUCACACUCGCCUCUCUUUCUGCAUCUGUGUACACAAAGCUCUUCAACAGCAUCUUUUGACACAUGUACAAUCAGUCAUUGGUGCUCUCGCACACUCCUACACAACCACUUGGGGCCUAAAUCCUUCCUGUUUCAGUAUUAAAGAGAUAUACUCAUGCAUAUAAAUAUGUCACAUAAUGUACAUUAUGCAGAAUGUGGUAGGUGUUGAAAGCAUAAAUAUCAUUUUAUUUUCAACUGCACAAUUGACAUUUUCAAAUUGAUUGAUUUUGGCCUGAUGUGCUUCUGGAGGAAUUCAGCAAAUCAAUUA
Gasterosteus aculeatus aculeatus (three-spined stickleback) is the source of this 5397-nucleotide long non-coding RNA. The record is from Ensembl. Lineage: Eukaryota; Metazoa; Chordata; Actinopteri; Perciformes; Gasterosteidae.